UACGUAGGGACCAAGCGUUUGUUCGGAUUUACUGGGCGUAAAGGGCGCGUAGGCGGCAAUUCAAGUCAUCUGUGAAAUCUCCGGGCUUAACCCGGAACGGUCAGAUGAUACUGCUUUGCUAGAGUGCGGAAGGGGCAAUCGGAAUUCUUGGUGUAGCGGUGAAAUGCGUAGAUAUCAAGAGGAACACCUGAGGUGAAGACGGGUUGCUGGGCCGACACUGACGCUGACAGCGCGAAAGCCAGGGGAGCAAACGGG
Molecule: ribosomal RNA, 255 nt
Filed under: uncultured bacterium
Lineage: Bacteria
Description: partial 16S ribosomal RNA
Rfam family: Bacterial small subunit ribosomal RNA
Source: RNAcentral